GGCCUCGUAGCUCAAUUGGUAGAGCGCCGCACUGUUAAUGCGGAAGUUCCGGGUUCGAGUCCCGGCGAGGCCG
Molecule: transfer RNA, 73 nt
Filed under: Alphaproteobacteria bacterium
Lineage: Bacteria; Pseudomonadati; Pseudomonadota; Alphaproteobacteria
Description: tRNA-Asn
Rfam family: tRNA
About the family: Transfer RNA (tRNA) molecules are approximately 80 nucleotides in length.
Source: RNAcentral